Molecule: long non-coding RNA, 5903 nt
Filed under: Olea europaea subsp. europaea
Lineage: Eukaryota; Viridiplantae; Streptophyta; Magnoliopsida; Lamiales; Oleaceae
Source: RNAcentral
CGAGAAAAAGAGAAGGAAAAGAGGAAAGAAAAGGAGAAAAAUGAAGGAAAAGAAGAAGAAGAAGAAGAAGAAGAAGUGGGUCUUCAAGCUUGGAUUCUCCAUUUCUCCACUGAUUUAGAGAGGUGGGUGUAAGUAGGAUGAAUUAUCUUUUUGAGUUUAUGGAGAUUUUCUCAAAUUUAAGGUUUAGCAAAAUUAAAGAUUGUUGAUAUAUGUUUGAGGCAUUAAAAAUAACAAUAAUAUUAGUGUUGAAAGGAAGGAAAUGUGAAAUGUGUUUGUAAAUUAGAGUUUCAAUCUUUGAAUUAUUGUGUUUAUAUGAUAUAAAACACUUGAUUUAUGAUGAAUUAGAUUGGUAAAAGAAUUUUAGGUUAGAUUUUGGUAUUUAUAAUAAAUUUUUGAGCAAAAUUCACGUGCAAGUGCCAUUCCUGAAAUUCUACCAGAAAAGUGCUAUUUCUCUCAAUUGUUUUGAUGCCAGAUUUCAAUAUAUAGAAAUUGGUGCCAGAUCUAUAUUCUGGAAUUUUAGUGCUAUUUUUGUUAAACCUUGAAUUUCUAGAGUUUUAAAGGUUUGAAUGAAUUUAUAUGACAAAUAUUGAAGUCUAUGUAUUGGACUAACUAUGUAUAGGGAUUGUAUAUGUAAAAGGUUGUGAUUUUAAGGAAGUGUGAGUGGUAUAAUGGAUUUGAUAGUGUAUGAUGAUUAGUUGAUAAAUCAUUAAAGAGAAGAAAAGUUGGGGAAUUGGAAAUGUAAGAUUAAAUAUAAAAGUUGAGAAGUUAAGUUGUGGAUUUGUAUUAAUUUAAUUGAUAGGUUUUAAUUCGAGAAAUUCUACCGUUAUUUCAGGUAGGGACGUGGAAGCUCGGAAAGACUCAUCAAUUUAAUCAGAUUUCUAUCAAUAUAUCUGUGAGUGGAAAAAUAUAAAUAUUUUAAAGUAUUUAUAAAUUAAGAAUAUUACCAAAGUAUGUGCAAUUAUAUGAAUUAAUUGCUCCAUUAUGUGAUUACGAUGAAAGUUUCUAUUAUUAGGAUCCAUGCGGAAUUUCAAGGAUUAUUUGUGAUAUUGAGAAUUGUUUGGUAUGUAAGAUAUUUGAUAUUGAGGUCGACAAGAAAAGUACUCAUGAUUAUAUAUUUCUUCUAGUUCACUGAGAAGCUUUGGGCAUGUUCUAUAUUACAGUGAGGGGUCUUGGACCGGGUUGAAGGGGUCUUGAUCGUGUACAUAUAGUAAACUGAGUGGCCUUGAUCGUGUUCUAGAAUUGAUUAUCCUCUUGAGACCGACUUUCAUUCACGGAGAGGGCCAAAGGCGCGUGACGAAAGUUCUUAGCCCAAGGAGUGGAUUAAAAAUUUUAGGCAGGUGGUACAUUUUUUGUGAAUUUUUCAAUACAUUUAAUGUGAUGAGAAUAUAACAUGAUUACUAGCUUAUGUUUAUUUCAUGACUUGAGAUGAUAUUUCACCACGUUGUGUGAAUGUUUUACGUUUUGGUUAUAGUUAUAUGAUGUUAUCUUGUGAACUAUUCAAUGAUAUGAACUCAAUUUUCAAUAAAAAUGUAAAAUUGAAAAAUUAUAAUUAUUUUCGAACUUCUCCACUCACUAAACUAUCAACUCAUAUAUUUUCCCAUAAUUUUCCUAGAGGUAGCAAUUGAUUCAUUUUAGCUAGAAGGGCCUAAUGAUUUCGGAAUGAGAGACACACGACAUGUUGAGUGUUAUAACUCAUAUUGAUGAGGAUAAAGUAAAUAAUUUGAGCCCAUCUCAUUAUAUUUUACAUAGCAUUUGAUUUUGGUACAUUUUUGUAGUAACUCAUAAUCAGGUUUGGUGAUAGAUUUGACAUCUAGUUAGCUUCUAUCAUCGGCGCACGUCACGUUUCGGGUCCACUAGGGUGAUUUGGACGGGUCUUGUCAACACAUAGAUGAAUUUUCGACAAGUCCAAGUUAUAUAAAAUUAUUUUGACACGUAGAGCCAAAAAAUGAUUGUUUGAACUAUAAAAGCGUCGAAACAUCAUAACCUAAAGAACCAAUUCAUGCAUACAUUAGCAAAGAUUCAUAAAUUGAAAAUGAAAUAAUCACAUGCACCUCUAUGUGCCUUAGUUUGAAGCUUCUGAAUGGACGGAGUUGGACGGUGAAUGUUAUUUCCCGACAGCACCCAACGCUUAAGAAAUCUACCUCUCUCUCUCUCUCUUUCCCUUCUUCUCUGAUUUUUUUCCUAUUCUUGAAUAUAUCUCUGUGUGUAAAGUGUAUUUUCAUUUGUAGUAGAAAGGAUUAUUUGGGAAAAUGAAGGGUUAUCAUAUAGUCAGAAACCAUUGGUACUCAUUUCAAUUUAAGGAGGAUUAAAGGUGAGCUUUUAUGUUCCAUUUCAUGUGUGAAUAGGGAUGUCAAUAAAUCGAGCCGAACCUUGAGGUUCGGGUAAAGUGAGUGAGCUUUUUUUCGAGCUCGAGCCAGGCCGAGCAAAAACUCGACCAAAAAAAUUUUGUUCGACCCGAGCUUUUGGCUCAGGCCGAGUCGGGUAGGCUUGCUUUUUUUACCUCUUUUUUUUUUUUUUUUUAAUGGCUGCCUUUUAAGGUAGCACAGCUGCUGCCUAAAUUUGUUUUUUCCUUCUUAGGCUCGCGGGCUAGCUCGAGCUCGGCCCAUCCUCCCAAAAUGAGCCUCGACCCUGGCCGACUUAGGCUUUUCCCAAGCCAAGCUACGGGCGGCCUGAGUCGACGAGCCUAAUUACCAUCCCUAUGUGUGGAUUUUAAGGCAACUGUUUCUUAUCUUUCGUAACCUUUGUCAUUUUAAAUUGUUUUGCACAAAUAUAUAUAUAGGGAUGUGCAUGUUUGAAUUGAGGAAAAUGAAAUGGUUCAUUAAAUAAAUUAUAUCCUUGGUCUCUAUAAUUUAUUUACCUAAUAAAAUAAGGAAAUAACAACAUAAAUCUGUUUCUACUCUCAUUCUUAAAACUCAUAAUUUGGUCCCUUGAAAAAUAACACGUGUACAUAUCUAGUCAUGAAAAUAUAACUGUACAAAAUAAAUUUUCAUUGCCGGGUCAAAUCUUUGGGAAACAUUAAAUUCCAUCCUACCCGGUAUAAAUAUUUUUUCUUUUUAAAGAAAACAUGCAUGGUCGCUUGUUGAACCUCCAUGAGAUUUAAAUUUAUUUAAGACAUAUUGGACUAGUAUUGAACUUUCAUUUCUUAUGUAAGCCGAACAUGAGGUUUAUCUAUAGGCCUGGCUCAUGGUGCUUAAUUUUCACAUUUAAAAAUAUAAGCUUAUGUUUUUUUGUUUUUUUCGGGUUUUCACAUCCCUUACACCUUAAAAAAACUUCAUCCUCAAAAUUUACCAUAUGGUUGGGAAAAUAGGAUCAGAAGUUUGUUUUCAAUUUUGUCUUCUCUUUCCCAAUUAAUUUCUUUUCUUCCAUGAUCAAUCCAUUGUACCUUUAUUUUUUAAAUCUCUUUUUUCCGUAACAUAUGAUCAAAAUUAUGCACAUACUUCCUGAUCAUCAAUAUAUAAAAUACGAUUUCACCACAGAUAGUUCGGGCAACAAAAUCAACCAAUAAGCCACAUUCUCCCGAUCAUAUCAAGUAUUUCGAAAUGUCCAAUAUAAUGAGGUCGAGUUUGCCCUUCUUGUCGAACCUAAGUACAUCCUUCAUUGGUGUUAUGUUUAGAAAGACUUUAUCUCCAUCUUGAAAUUUCAAAUCAAUUUUUUGGUAUCCGCAUAGCUCUUUUUCUAUCUUACACUGUUUUUAUCCUAGUGCGGAUCUUCUCAGUUGCUUCAACUGUUCUUUCAAUGAUCUUUAGUACUAAAACUUUCUUUUCUUCGAUUUCAUUCUAAUGAAUAGGUGAUCUACAUCUUCUAUCAUAAAGAGGUUCAUGCAGUGCCAUUUCAAUAAUUGCUAGAAAGCUGUUAUUAUACGCAAAUUCCACCAAAGAUAGAUACAAUUACUAAUUGCAUCCCUGAUCCAAAAUAUAAGCUCUUAGCAUAUCUUUCAUAGUUUGAAUGGUCCUUUCAGAUUGACCAUCGGAUUUAGGAUGAUACAUUUUAUUGAAGCUCAGUUUCAUUUCCAUAGCUUCUUAUAAGCUCUUCUAAAACUUAAACGUAAAUCUUGGAUCUCUAUCAGACACGUUGGAGUUGGGGCAGCGUGCAAUCUUACAAUCUCUCUAAUGUAUAAUUGUGCUAGCUGAUCUAGACUGAAUGUCAUUUUCAUUAAAAAAAAAAAAUAAGCUGACUUGGUUUGACAAUCCCCUAAUACCUAUAUAGCAUUAUGACCCCUUGAUGACUUGGAAAAUCCUAGCUUAAAAUCCAUUAUGAUAUUCUCUCAAUUCUACUCAAGUAUGUCGAAUGAAUUUAACAACCCUACCGAUAUUUGAUAUUCUACUUUAACUUUUUGACACACUAUGCAUUUUGUCACAAAUAGGCAUAUGCCUUUUUUUUCAUAUUUCUCCACCGAAUGUAUCUCGAAAAUCUUGAAACACUUUCGUACCACCAAGAUGUGCAGCAUAUGAGAUAAAAUGAGUCUCUUCUAAUAUCUCUUCCGUCAAACCUUCAUUCUUAGACACACAAAAUUUUCCUUUAAAUUCAUUUUUCCUAUCAGUACUAAUCUUAUUGCUAAUCUUUUGCUAGAAUGGAUCUUUACACUGUGCAUCUAUGAUUCAAUCUUGAGAAUAGGUCGAACCAUUAAAGUUGAUAAAUGAGCGGUGACUUGAUCUAGCAUGGUAACCACUUUGAUUCGCAAAUUUUCUAAGACUUUGAUCAACUUCAUUUGAAUAAUAGGUAAUGACAACAAUUGUCCGUCGACUUUCUAUUUAGAUUAUCUGCAACAACAUUGGCCUUAAUCGGAUGUUAGUGAAUAGUGCAUUCAUAAGCCUCAACUAGCUCCAACCUCACCUCUAUCUCGUAUUCAAUUCCUUUUAUGUGAAAAAAUAUUUGAGACUCUUAUGAUUCGUGUAAAAAUCACACUUCCCUUCAUACAAAUUAUAAGAUUGUAUCUUUAAUGCAUGAAUUAUCGCCUUAAAUUCUAGAUCAUAUGUCGAGUAAUCUGCUCAUUUUUUUAACUGCCUCGAUCCAUAGGCAAUUACUUUUUCAUGCUACAUUAAUACACAUCCUAAACCUUAAUUGGACGUAUCACUAUACAUAACAAACCCUUCUAAACUCUCAAGUAUGGUUAACACAGGUGUUGUAAUCAAUAUUUGCUUUAAUUUCUAAAACCUUUGCUCACAUUUAUCUGUACAUUAAAACCUUACUCAUUUUCUUAUGAAUUAUAUCAUAGGUUCAACUAUCUUAGAGACAGGUGCUUGGUUUUAAUCAAGAUAGUUCAAGGGAAGUGACUAGUGAGGGCUUCAAAGUGGUAUGUCGGUCCAGCGGCCAAGGUGAUCGAAGUGUAGAGUUUUGGUGGUCCAAAAGUGGUGACUCUAACACUUCCGGCCAUUUUUUGUGCUUCGUCAUCCCAUUUUGGCUUGAAUUUUCGACCAAAUCGGUUGGUGUUAUGGUCGGAGCUUGGUUGGGUAGCGAAGAGAGAAGCGAGGGUUUCAAGGUGGUAUGUCGGUCCGGCGGCCAAGGUGGCAGGAGGGUGGAUUUUGGUAGUCCAUAAGUGGUGGCUCUAAGGUGGUUUAGGGGUUGGAUAGGUCAGUGUCUUCUGAGAAAUUUUUUGCAAAGUUCAAUGACCAUUUAGGUGAUUUUUAAAGUUCAAUGACUUUUGAGAAACCUUUUGCAAAGUUCAGUAACCAUUUAGGUGAUUUUUAAAGUUCAGUGACUUUUGAGAAACCUUUUGCAAAGUUCAAUGACCAUUUAGGUGAUUCUUAAAGUUCAGGGACCCCUUGAAAAUCUUUUGCAAAGUUCAGUGACUAUUGACAUAAUUAACCCGUAGACAGGUGAUAAAGUGAUAAAUAAAUUAUCGUCUCAUGGAGACUAUAUACUUAAUCUAGUUCCAAUUAAUGUUAACUCGAAUCAAAUAGCCA